AGGUAGAGCAUCUAUCUAGCUACCCCUCUAGUCCAACAUAGGCUCAAAUUUUUCCAGCAAAUACAUUUUUUUACUCAUGAUUUAAUCCCCAAAUGAGUAAAUUGAAUUUAAACUAGUUUCCUGACAAUACCUGUACCCCUAGUGUAACUUUGAUCGACAUCAUAACGUGACUAACGCGUUUGCGUUAAGUCUCAUUUUGUAUAGGAUUUUGAGUUUCCAAAACGUCCCGCUUGGCGCGCUCUUUCGAAAUCCAAUACAAAAUGAGACUAAACGCAAACGCGUACGUCACGUUUGGAAAUCGAAUUUAUUUACACUAGGGGUACUGAUUA
This is a long non-coding RNA of Cydia pomonella (codling moth), 329 nucleotides long. RefSeq lists it as uncharacterized. The record is from RefSeq and is a predicted model, not a curated record. The transcript is spliced from 2 exons. NCBI's taxonomy places the organism in Eukaryota, Metazoa, Arthropoda, Insecta, Lepidoptera, Tortricidae.